This 1037-nucleotide unclassified non-coding RNA is filed under the name Hevea brasiliensis (rubber tree). Lineage: Eukaryota; Viridiplantae; Streptophyta; Magnoliopsida; Malpighiales; Euphorbiaceae. The record is from RNAcentral.
ACCCUUUGGCUUGUUCUCACAGGUAUUUGGGCCCCCCUGGCACUCCUUGACAUUUAUUAUUUUUUUGUUGCUAAUUUUUGUUUGAUUCCAAAGCUGAAGAAUAUAUUAAAAAUUUUAAAAAUUCAUCUCAUUUUUUUCUUAAACCGGAGCUUUCUUGACAUCUUCACUAGUAAGUCAAAAUUUGAUGAUUUGACUUGUUCUAAAGACCAGAAGCUGCAUGAUUGCUUCUAUGAUUUUAUUUAAGUUCAAUGAUCUAUAUCAAUUAGCCAUUGUUGCAAAGGUCUUUCCAUGAAAUGUAUGAAAAAAGUGAGGAUAGAAUGAUUAGAUUGGAUAGGACAUAUAAUGCAUUCAUGUAUAAUAAGUUAGCAACAGCAAAGACAAUUUGAACAAAAUGGCUUUACAAUAUGCAAGGAAUAUCAGCAGUUAUUGCACUAUUAGCUGCUAUACUAUGCAGUUGGAAGAAUUUUCCAGGGUGAAUGGCAUAAAAAAUGGUUCCCAUGGAAACAUGGCUUGAGUUAGCAAACAACAGUAUAUAUAAGUUUGAAGAAAAUGAUAUUAUAUUCUAUGAGUAAGGAAGAUAAUCAAACAAUGCAUAAUUAGAUAUCCUUAUGCAAGACAGCAAUCUUAAAGAAUAGGGGCUUUCUGAUCCCUUUUCAUAUCAGCCACAGAAAUUCAUCUAAAUAAAUCACUAAGACAGCACCAAAAAGAAGACUAAUACAGAUUUUAUCUCACAAUAUUUUUGUGAUGACAAAUGAUGAUUUCUAAAGACUAGCAUUGUUCUCCAACCAAAUACGUGAUCAAUGCAAAAACUGAGCAAGAACAGAACUUUUAGUUCAUACUUCAUAGCACAUAAUAGAAAUGAUGUUUUAUAGAGAGCUGAACUCUAUAACUGAUUCUAGAAGUUUGUUAACUUCAUGAAUAUUAUACUUUGAUUUAUUUCUAUUUGUUUGCUUGUCCUCCUGUCACAACUUUUGACAUGAGAUAUUUAUGUGGUGUUCCUUAUAUAUACAUUUUAUGUAUAUUAGGUUUCUAUGUGU